UUUCAACGGCCGCGGUAUUCUAACCGUGCAAAGGUAGCGUAAUCAUUUGUCUUCCAAAUAAAGACCAGUAUGAAUGGCUAAAUGAGGAUAAACCUGUCUCCUGCAACCUAUCAAUGAAACUGAUCUUCCAGUCCAAAAGCUGGAAUAGCAACAUAAGACGAGAAGACCCUGUGGAGCUUAAAGUACAUUACUAAUAAGACAAGUCCAACUAGUAACAACUUUAAGUUGGGGCGACUUCGGAACAAAACAAAACUUCCGAGCACAGAACCACUAAUUCUAACCAAGGCCCACAAGCCUAAGAACAAAAUUGACCCAGUCAUACUGAUCAACGAACCAAGUUACCCCAGGGAUAACAGCGCUAUCUUCUUCAAGAGUCCAUAUCGACAAGAAGGUUUACGACCUCGAUGUUGGAUCAGGACACCCAAAUGGUGCAGCCGCUAUUAAAGGUUCGUUUGUUCAACGAUUAACAGUCCU
Molecule: ribosomal RNA, 474 nt
Filed under: Sphenomorphus concinnatus
Lineage: Eukaryota; Metazoa; Chordata; Lepidosauria; Squamata; Scincidae
Description: partial 16S ribosomal RNA
Rfam family: Bacterial large subunit ribosomal RNA
Source: RNAcentral